RNAcentral lists this ribosomal RNA (858 nucleotides) under Fusarium sp. RNAcentral describes it as "partial 28S ribosomal RNA". It matches the Rfam family "Eukaryotic large subunit ribosomal RNA", at positions 56 to 948 of the family's 3401-position model. Lineage: Eukaryota; Fungi; Ascomycota; Sordariomycetes; Hypocreales; Nectriaceae. The record is from RNAcentral.
CGAGGAGAGCAACAGGGAUUGCCCUAGUAACGGCGAGUGAAGCGGCAACAGCUCAAAUUUGAAAUCUGGCUUUCGGGCCCGAGUUGUAAUUUGUAGAGGAUACUUUUGAUGCGGUGCCUUCCGAGUUCCCUGGAACGGGACGCCAUAGAGGGUGAGAGCCCCGUCUGGUUGGAUGCCAAAUCUCUGUAAAGUUCCUUCGACGAGUCGAGUAGUUUGGGAAUGCUGCUCUAAAUGGGAGGUAUAUGUCUUCUAAAGCUAAAUAUUGGCCAGAGACCGAUAGCGCACAAGUAGAGUGAUCGAAAGAUGAAAAGCACUUUGAAAAGAGAGUUAAAAAGUACGUGAAAUUGUUGAAAGGGAAGCGUUUAUGACCAGACUUGGACUUGGUUAAUCAUCUGGGGUUCUCCCCAGUGCACUUUUCCAGUUCAGGCCAGCAUCAGUUUUCGCCGGGGGAUAAAGGCUUCGGGAAUGUAGCUCUCUUCGGGGAGUGUUAUAGCCCGUUGUGUAAUACCCUGGUGGAGACUGAGGUUCGCGCUUCUGCAAGGAUGCUGGCGUAAUGGUCAUCAACGACCCGUCUUGAAACACGGACCAAGGAGUCGUCUUCGUAUGCGAGUGUUCGGGUGUCAAACCCCUACGCGUAAUUAAAGUGAACGCAGGUGAGAGCUUCGGCGCAUCAUCGACCGAUCCUGAUGUUCUCGGAUGGAUUUGAGUAAGAGCAUACGGGGCCGGACCCGAAAGAAGGUGAACUAUGCCUGUAUAGGGUGAAGCCAGAGGAAACUCUGGUGGAGGCUCGCAGCGGUUCUGACGUGCAAAUCGAUCGUCAAAUAUGGGCAUGGGGGCGAAAGACUAAUCGACUCAGGG